This 255-nucleotide ribosomal RNA is filed under the name uncultured bacterium. RNAcentral's name for it is "partial 16S ribosomal RNA". It matches the Rfam family "Bacterial small subunit ribosomal RNA", at positions 524 to 776 of the family's 1533-position model. The record is from RNAcentral.
UACGUAGGGGGCAAGCGUUGUCCGGAAUCAUUGGGCGGUAAAGAGCUCGUAGGCGGCUUGUUGCGUCAGCUGUGAAAACCCGCAGCUCAACUGUGGGCUUGCAGCUGAUACGGGCAGGCUUGAGUUCGGUAGGGGAGACUGGAAUUCCUGGUGUAGCGGUGAAAUGCGCAGAUAUCAGGAGGAACACCAGUGGCGAAGGCGGCUCACUGGCCCGAUACUGACGCUGAGGCACGGAAAGCGUGGGGAGCAAACAGG